Molecule: long non-coding RNA, 928 nt
Organism: Solanum dulcamara
Lineage: Eukaryota; Viridiplantae; Streptophyta; Magnoliopsida; Solanales; Solanaceae
Exons: 3
Source: RefSeq, a predicted model, not a curated record
UACAUCUCAAGAAGGACCCUUAAGCCAAAUCAAAAUAGAAGCCAUCAAAUAUGUUUUUCUUAAAGUUACGUUUCGGGUAAGCUGACUUCGGGAGGCCAUAACCUCUUUAUAAUUUGAGAAUUUGGGAAAACUCUCAACAUGAAAGUUGUAGAUAAUUGAAAUAUCUUUCCAACCAUAGGUCGUGGGACGAAAUGUGAUAUCGGAGUAAUAAGAUAUAGACGUUUUAAGUCUGACAGGCCAAACUAAAUAGUGAAUUCGGCCCAACCCAAUUUUAAUUCGGGUCAGGCCCAAUACCCACGAAAUUAAUCAAAAUUCUAUGUCUUCCUUCAUAGUUUAGACCAAGAAAUAUCUGGAAAUUUCCAGAGAGAGUAAGAUAAGGGAAAGCUAGAGAGAAACACCAACAUCCACCACAAUUAAAGCCCCGAAUCUCAAAGCUCUUGAAGAGAAAAUUGUUGUACGUCGCGUUGGCUUCAAUUUGAGCUAGAAAUCAGCCAAUAAGGAGAAGAUUUUAUGUGGUGCUGCAAAUUUAAGGUUGAGACAAUAUUGGACAACAUAUACGUAUAAACGCUAAAGGUACAAAUACUCAUUUUGGAGAGCCGCCAACUUAGGAUUCUACUCAACGAGUUUGAAGUGCUCCAUUGUCUCGGAGCCCAAACUUUGGGUACUAAUCCUUAUAAUGUAUAUAUUUGUGUAUUUAGGGGUACGACGGGGCCCUGUCCCGUCAUAUGCUAUUGUUAAUUCUCUUAGAGGUCUGUAGACAUAUGAGUGGGUUGUAUAUAGAUGUUGUCCGGUGUACUAGUAUGACUUAUGUUUUUGGACGUUUACAUUCAGAAUGGAAGCCUUGUCGGCUUACAUAUUAUGUUAUCUUAUUUUUGACAAUUAAGACUCCCCAAGAAAUAGCUGAUUUUGGUAUAUAUAUAAGUGACCG